AUGGCCUCCGAGGCGGCGAAGGUGCCGGUGCCGCAGACGGUGAACUUCAAGAGGAAGAGGGGAGAGCUCUGGGUCGCCGCAAAGAAGAAGAAGGUCGCCGACAAGAAGAAGAAGGAUGCAGAGAACACCAAGGACAAGGAGCUGGUGCAACUUAAGAGUGAGGCCCAGAUGAAGGGUGGGUUCUAUGUCAGUCCCGAGGCCAAGCUGUUGUUUGUCGUCCGUAUCCGUGGUAUCAAUGCUAUGCACCCAAAGACCAAGAAGAUCUUGCAGCUUUUGCCUCUUGUUUACCUUAAAUGCAACUAUUGUGAACCCAAUUUAGAAAAAAAGAAAAAAAUGAAACUGUUGAGACAAAAAGGCCAUGGGCCAAAAAUAAAAAGGCUGCAAUGUUGGACGUAUUUUGGUCAUAAACGUCUUCGACCAUUCCAGAAGAAAGGUCGCUUUAGUCAGUUUAUGAUGGCCAACUUUUGA
This 468-nucleotide ribosomal RNA is filed under the name Triticum aestivum (bread wheat). Its description in RNAcentral is "partial small subunit ribosomal RNA". Lineage: Eukaryota; Viridiplantae; Streptophyta; Magnoliopsida; Poales; Poaceae. The record is from RNAcentral.